UACGGAGGAUGCGAGCGUUAUCCGGAUUUACUGGGUGUAAAGGGAGCGUAGGCGGCUUAGUAAGUCUGAAGUGAAAGCCCGGGGCUCAACCCCGGGACUGCUUUGGAAACUGCAUAGCUGGAGUGCUGGAGAGGCAAGCGGAAUUCCUAGUGUAGCGGUGAAAUGCGUAGAUAUUAGGAAGAACACCAGUGGCGAAGGCGGCUUACUGGACUGUAACUGACGUUGAGGCUCGAAAGCGUGGGGAGCAAACAGG
This 253-nucleotide ribosomal RNA is filed under the name uncultured Lachnospiraceae bacterium. Its description in RNAcentral is "partial 16S ribosomal RNA". It matches the Rfam family "Bacterial small subunit ribosomal RNA", at positions 524 to 776 of the family's 1533-position model. The record is from RNAcentral. Lineage: Bacteria; Bacillati; Bacillota; Clostridia; Lachnospirales; Lachnospiraceae.